GUGAGGUUCUGCUCUGCCCCUGCUCCAACACCCGGAGGAUUCUUGCUGGCUGUGGGAUGAAUCCCUGCCCACGGAUGGGAACAAAACCUGGGGGUGAAGAGCCAGGAAGACAGCACUGGGGGCUCGUUCCUCAUCCCUGAUGGCUUCAGCUGCUCAAUUAACACCUUGGGAGACUUCUCACUUGAUUAUCACCCUGUGCCCCUGAAGCCCUCUGCAGCCAGGGUGUCCUGCUUAGAGAAACCAGCUGAGCAUGAGGAAAAAAUUAAACUACUGCUUCCACGUUUGUCUUCCUGCUCUGGGCUGAUUUUGAAGAGGAGAAACACGACUGCUGCUGCCUGGCUCGUGGCUGGUGGCACUGCCUGUGCCCUCUCCUUGAGUUAAGUUGCAAAUUCACAGCUUUGUUUCAAGGAAACAAUAUUAAAAGAAAAAAAAAAUA
Long non-coding RNA from Calypte anna (Anna's hummingbird), 436 nucleotides. RefSeq lists it as uncharacterized. The transcript has 2 exons. NCBI's taxonomy places the organism in Eukaryota, Metazoa, Chordata, Aves, Apodiformes, Trochilidae. The record is from RefSeq and is a predicted model, not a curated record.